GAUGAACGCUGGCGGCGUGCCUAAUACAUGCAAGUCGAGCGAACAGGCGAGGAGCUUGCUCCUCUGACGUUAGCGGCGGACGGGUGAGUAACACGUGGAUAACCUACCUAUAAGACUGGGAUAACUUCGGGAAACCGGAGCUAAUACCGGAUAAUAUAUUGAACCGCAUGGUUCAAUAGUGAAAGACGGUUUUGCUGUCACUUAUAGAUGGAUCCGCGCCGCAUUAGCUAGUUGGUAAGGUAACGGCUUGCCAAGGCGACGAUGCGUAGCCGACCUGAGAGGGUGAUCGGCCACACUGGAACUGAGACACGGUCCAGACUCCUACGGGAGGCAGCAGUAGGGAAUCUUCCGCAAUGGGCGAAAGCCUGACGGAGCAACGCCGCGUGAGUGAUGAAGGUCUUCGGAUCGUAAAACUCUGUUAUUAGGGAAGAACAAAUGUGUAAGUAACUAUGCACGUCUUGACGGUACCUAAUCAGAAAGCCACGGCUAACUACGUG
RNAcentral lists this ribosomal RNA (497 nucleotides) under uncultured bacterium. RNAcentral describes it as "partial 16S ribosomal RNA". It matches the Rfam family "Bacterial small subunit ribosomal RNA", at positions 28 to 507 of the family's 1533-position model. The record is from RNAcentral.